UUCUGUCAACAGUCUGUCAUUUCUUUUAAUUGACCAUGGCUUCGUCAAAAUUGUGAUUGUUUAGUAUUUGUUCAAUAUUUACAGCGUCAACCUUUCUUCAAUUACUUGCCUCACUAUGGGGGUCCAAGGCAAUCAGGACCACCCACACAAGUGAAUGAUUUCCUCUACCCAGCAGGCCAGCCUUACCCUCAGCCUGGACUCAACGGCCCUGUCAGCAUGGAAAUAGUGUUUUCACAGAGUUUUCCUGGCAUGUCUAAUGGUGGCCAGAUCAAUGGACCACAGUCCUAUCCCUCUCAAGCCUUCAUCAAAUAUUCCCUACCUAAGGCCCCGGGAAGAAAGAGUGUAGAAAUUUACUACCCCUAUGACUUUGUGCAGCAAAAG
Salvelinus fontinalis (brook trout) is the source of this 381-nucleotide long non-coding RNA. RefSeq lists it as uncharacterized. The record is from RefSeq and is a predicted model, not a curated record. Lineage: Eukaryota; Metazoa; Chordata; Actinopteri; Salmoniformes; Salmonidae. The transcript is spliced from 5 exons.